UACGAAGGGGGCUAGCGUUGCUCGGAAUCACUGGGCGUAAAGCGCACGUAGGCGGAUUGCUAAGUCAGGGGUGAAAUCCUGGAGCUCAACUCCAGAACUGCCUUUGAUACUGGCGAUCUCGAGUCCGGGAGAGGUGAGUGGAACUGCGAGUGUAGAGGUGAAAUUCGUAGAUAUCGGGAGGAACACCAGUGGCGAAGGCGGCGACCUGGGCCAAUACUGACGCUGAGGUGCGAAAGCGUGGGGAGCAAACAGG
This 253-nucleotide ribosomal RNA is filed under the name uncultured bacterium. RNAcentral's name for it is "partial 16S ribosomal RNA". It matches the Rfam family "Bacterial small subunit ribosomal RNA", at positions 524 to 776 of the family's 1533-position model. The record is from RNAcentral.